AACGUACGCUGGCGGCACGCCUAACACAUGCAAGUCGAACGAAGUAGCAAUACUUAGUGGCAGACGGGUGAGUAACAUGUAGGUAUCUGCCCUUUGGCCUGGAAUAACACGAGGAAACUUGUGCUAAUACCGGAUAAGUCUUUACGGAGAAAGCUUUAUGCACCAUUGGAUGAGCCUGCACUUGAUUAGUUUGUUGGUGGGGUAAUGGCCUACCAAGACUGUGAUCAAUAGCUGAUUUGAGAGGAUGAUCAGCCACAUUGGGACUGAGACACGGCCCAAACUCCUACGGGAGGCAGCAGUGGGGAAUCUUGCACAAUGGAGGAAACUCUGAUGCAGCGAUGCCGCGUGAGUGAAGAAGGCCUUUGGGUUGUAAAGCUCUUUCGUCGGGGAAGAAAAUGACUGUACCCGAAUAAGAAGGUCCGGCUAACUUCGUGCCAGCAGCCGCGGUAAUACGAAGGGACCUAGCGUAGUUCGGAAUUACUGGGCUUAAAGAGUUCGUAGGUGGUUGAAAAAGUUGGUGGUGAAAUCCCAGAGCUUAACUCUGGAACUGCCAUCAAAACUUUUCAGCUAGAGUAUGAUAGAGGAAAGCAGAAUUUCUAGUGUAGAGGUGAAAUUCGUAGAUAUUAGAAAGAAUACCAAUUGCGAAGGCAGCUUUCUGGAUCAUUACUGACACUGAGGAACGAAAGCAUGGGUAGCGAAGAGGAUUAGAUACCCUCGUAGUCCAUGCCGUAAACGAUGUGUGUUAGACGUUGGAAAUUUAUUUUCAGUGUCGCAGCGAAAGCGAUAAACACACCGCCUGGGGAGUACGACCGCAAGGUUAAAACUCAAAUGAAUUGACGGGGACCCGCACAAGUAGUGGAGCAUGUGGUUUAAUUCGAAGAUACGCGCAGAACCUUACCAACACUUGACAUGUUCGUCGCGACUCUAAGAGAUUAGAGUUUUCGGUUCGGCCGGACGAAACACAGGUGCUGCAUGGCUGUCGUCAGCUCGUGUCGUGAGAUGUUGGGUUAAGUCCCGCAACGAGCGCAACCCUCACUUUUAGUUGCCAUCAUUAAGUUGGGCACUCUGAAAGAACUGCCAGUGAUAAGCUGGAGGAAGGUGGGGAUGACGUCAAGUCCUCAUGGCCCUUACGUGUUGGGCUACACACGUGCUACAAUGGUAUCUACAACAGGAAGCAAAACUGCGAAGUUAAGCAAAUCCCGAAAAGAUACCUCAGUUCGGAUUGCACUCUGCAACUCGAGUGCAUGAAGCUGGAAUUACUAGUAAUCGUAGAUCAGCGUGCUACGGUGAAUGCGUUCCCGGGUCU
This 1306-nucleotide ribosomal RNA is filed under the name uncultured bacterium. RNAcentral describes it as "bacterial SSU rRNA". It matches the Rfam family "Bacterial small subunit ribosomal RNA", at positions 28 to 1381 of the family's 1533-position model. The record is from RNAcentral.